AUGCACAAUUUCCACAAUGUUGAACAUAAUAUAUGCUUUAAUGCUCCUGUGCACUGCUUUAAUGCUUCUGCUUGUUUGUCUGAAUUUUGUUGUUGUUCAUUAAUUUCCUGUCUUCAGGCUGUAUACAAAAAUGUUCCUACUAGGUAUUCUGACGUUGAUUAUCUAAAAGAAAGAGCAAUUCUAACACCAACAAACGAAGUAGCUGAAAAAAUAAACGAGUGUGUUCUAUCUUUAGUGCCUACCAGUGAGAGAGAGUACUUGAGCCGUGAUACUAUAGGGAAUUCAGCUGAUGCGGUUCGUAAUCAGGACGCCUUCUAUCCUGUCGAACAAACCAUCAUUGUAAAUAUUGCCUUUGGCCCUUUCUGCCUUAUCUCCUUCCUUAUGACAAUCUCUACUCACUAUAAAUGCCGCUCAGCCAUGCUGUUUAAACUAUGUCUUGUCGUUGCUGUUACACUGUGUGCGCCUCCGUAUAUCUUCUAUUUACUGCUGGGCUAG
RNAcentral lists this ribosomal RNA (495 nucleotides) under Triticum aestivum (bread wheat). RNAcentral describes it as "partial small subunit ribosomal RNA". Lineage: Eukaryota; Viridiplantae; Streptophyta; Magnoliopsida; Poales; Poaceae. The record is from RNAcentral.